Molecule: unclassified non-coding RNA, 253 nt
Filed under: uncultured Planctomycetota bacterium
Lineage: Bacteria; Pseudomonadati; Planctomycetota
Description: uncultured planctomycete contains 16S-23S intergenic spacer region
Rfam family: Bacterial small subunit ribosomal RNA
Source: RNAcentral
GACGAAGGUGGCAAGCGUUACGCGGAUUUACUGGGCAUAAAGCGCGCGUAGGCGGCUUGAUAAGUCGGAGGUGAAAGCCCGCAGCUCAACUGCGGAAUUGCCCCCGAUACUGUCUGGCUUGAGGCCAGGAGAGGUCACCGGAACUCCAGGUGUAGCGGUGAAAUGCGUAGAUAUCUGGAGGAACACCAGAGGCAAAGGCGGGUGACUGGACUGGUACUGACGCUAAGGCGCGAAAGCUAGGGGAGCAAACAGG